RNAcentral lists this ribosomal RNA (454 nucleotides) under uncultured bacterium. Its description in RNAcentral is "bacterial SSU rRNA". It matches the Rfam family "Bacterial small subunit ribosomal RNA", at positions 32 to 514 of the family's 1533-position model. The record is from RNAcentral.
AAUCAACGCUGGCGGCGUGCCUAACACAUGCAAGUCGAACGGGAAAACGGGGGCAACUCCGUGAGUAUAGUGGCGUACGGGUGAGUAACACGUGACUACCUACCUUUGAGUGGGGGAUAACCCCGGGAAACCGGGGCUAAUACCGCAUAACAUCGCAAGAUCAAAGAAGCAAUUCGCUUAAAGAGGGGGUCGCGGCUGAUUAGCUAGUUGGUAGGGUAAUGGCCUACCAAGGCGAUGAUCGGUAGCCGGCCUGAGAGGGCGCACGGCCACACUGGAACUGAAACACGGUCCAGACUCCUACGGGAGGCAGCAGUGGGGAAUUUUGCGCAAUGGGGGAAACCCUGACGCAGCAACGCCGCGUGGAGAUGAAGUCCCUUGGGACGUAAACUCCUUUCGACCGGGACGAUUAUGACGGUACCGGUGGAAGAAGCCCCGGCUAACUUCGUGCCAGCAG